This 536-nucleotide long non-coding RNA is filed under the name Mustela putorius furo (domestic ferret). Its description in RNAcentral is "lncRNA (ENSMPUG00000030225.1)". The record is from RNAcentral. Lineage: Eukaryota; Metazoa; Chordata; Mammalia; Carnivora; Mustelidae.
GAAGAAUCAAGCCGGGGCCAGGUGGGGACCAGGAGCAGCAGGGGAGAUGCCAAGAGUCAACAGAUGGGAAAAAACAAGAAACACUAAAUGGGAGACUCAAUUGUUUGGGUGGAAGAAUUUACCUUCUAGCUGAUUUUUAAAAUAUUUCCUCAUCUUAAAACAAGAAAACAAACAAGAUGGUCCAUAGCACCUUUGUAAUCAGCACAAUUCAAUCAACUUCCACUAUCGUUGUUCUUCAAGUGACCACUCUGGGUGAGCUGUACUAGUUGUGAAGAGUAUUUACUUCUAGACUUCAGCCUCCGACACUUACCAGAAAAAAUAAAAGGUGGGUCCAUAUGAUAAUGUACAUUAAACACUUUCUAAUACAAUCUCAUAAAUAGAAUACAGAUUUCUCCUUAAGGACAGAGCACCAGGAGAACUAUAGGUUGUAUGAUGGUGAAUAGAGAUGUAAUUUAGGAUGGUGUGUUUAUUAAAAACAAACAAACAAACAACAACUGGAGACCAGUUAUUUUCCAAAAGAAAAUCUUAUUCUAGAU